Molecule: long non-coding RNA, 754 nt
Filed under: Nicotiana benthamiana
Lineage: Eukaryota; Viridiplantae; Streptophyta; Magnoliopsida; Solanales; Solanaceae
Description: long non-coding RNA (NBEN_LNC030247)
Source: RNAcentral
AAAUAUGUAAUAUACAUAUGUGAACUGAUUUAAAAAGUAUUGAAAUUAGAUCAUUGAAUAAAAUAAGAAAGAAAAAUGUCAAAAUAUAGACAAAAAGUAAAGAGAAAGCAACCAAUUUCAUCUUCCUCUCAAAGUACCCUAUAAACAGUCUGCUGCUACUGUCUCAUAGUCCUCCACCUACCUUUCGCCACCACACCUUUGCCGUUGUCGCCUCAUUUUUUUCCUUCACCACCGCAUUCAACAUCUUCCUCCAUUUAAAGAUUAAUUGCAAAAAGAGGGAUAAAAAGUAUAUUGCGUAUUCCUAAAUAAAACAAAUAAAGCUUGUGAUUCUUGAAAAUGGUUUGAAUUGUUGGUUAGGAAAGAGGGAGGAUAAAAGGGAGAAUUCAUGUUCGAAAGUGAGGAGUGGAAGUUUGGGUUUUAAAGCAAUUGUUUCGCAUCGAACGAGAAGACGAAUGAGAAAGCGCCAACACCCACUAGAAAAUUUUGGGUUACAAAUGUAUAGUAAUGGUGGAAGAAUAUGAACAGAAGAUGACAUACUUGUUUUUUCAUUGAGAGGAUGAUUUUGGUGCUUUAUAAUGGUGAAAAUAUAAGUUAUGUGGUAGAUAGUUAAGGAAGUAGUGCAAUGGAGAUAGAAAGAGAUGGAAAAAAGAUGCCAGGAAUACGGCUCUAGUGGUUAUCUGGUGCUUUCUCGUGGCUUCAGGUGGUUUUUAAAGUGAGAUAAACAAGAAUAGUAAGGAGCGGAGUGAGGAUCUAG